CUACGGGACGCAGCAGUGGGGAAUAUUGGACAAUGGGCGGAAGCCUGAUCCAGCAAUACCGCGUGUGUGAAGAAGGCCCGAGGGUUGUAAAGCACUUUCAAUGGGGAGGAAAAAGCGAAGGUUAAUACCCUUUGAAUUGACAUUACCCAUACAAGAAGCACCGGCUAACUCCGUGCCAGCAGCCGGCGGUAAUACGGAGGGUGCGAGCGUUAAUCGGAAUUACUGGGCGUAAAGCGUGCGUAGGCGGCCUGCCAAGCCAGAUGUGAAAGCCCCGGGCUCAACCUGGGAACGGCAUCCGAUACUGUCUAGCUUGAGUACAGGAGAGGAGAGUGGAAUUCCACAUGUAGCGGUGAAAUGCGUAGAUAUGUGGAGGAACACCAAUGGCGAAGGCAGCUCUCUGGCCUGAUACUGACGCUGAGGUGCGAAAGCGUGGGGAGCAAACAGGAUUAGAUACCCCUGUAGUC
Molecule: ribosomal RNA, 464 nt
Filed under: uncultured bacterium
Lineage: Bacteria
Description: partial 16S ribosomal RNA
Rfam family: Bacterial small subunit ribosomal RNA
Source: RNAcentral